AUGCGAAAGCAUUAUACCGUUUGUAGACCUCGGAACGCCACGAACGCGCUCAUUUUACCCACUCAUGACGUGGCGCCAUCUCAUCCCCAUUGACUGCGCCGUCAGGUCAUUUUUGGUAUCUUCUUUCGGUGCACGCCGACUACGACAUAUUUUCGCGUAAUGGGGCAUGUGAUUUAAAAGAACUUUUGUGGGCCUAGUUGGUGCAUACUUGAUAUACUUUUUAGAGCGCAAACAAGAGACAAGGCACAAAAGGGAGGUCAAACACAGGACAGGCGCCUGUCCUGUGUUUGACCUCCCUAUUGUGCCUUGUCUCUUUGUUUGCGCUCUAAAAAGUUUAUCAAGAGGCCUAUGAUGCUUUCGCAUUAAAACUGCAGGUCCUGUGAUCGCCAAACUUGCCAUUCCACUUUAUCGCAGUAGGUAAAACAGAAACCACAACUUACGCACGUGAGUUCCCACGUUUCCCUCUGGUGAACGUUUGCUCUGCUUCUCUGCCGUUGUUUCUGAAGCGCGAACGAAGGCCAAGAGAACGGCGUCGCGGCCUAAACGUUCCGCUAAAGCAUAUUCUGGUCACACAUCUUGGAAAUGAUCUGCAGUGGCUGUCAUAUCGCCAUGUCUGGCCAGAAGAAGACACUGGCUGCGCUCAUGAGCGGCGACCACGGGCCACCCGAGGGCUCGAGUUUUGAAUAAUAUAGAAAUCGAUGCGGAAUUGAAACGUUUGCUAUAUACAUCCGUGGAAUAAAGACGUUUGGUUGCUCUCUCUCUCUCGUAGAGCGAUGCAACUGCUAACUGUGAUGCGGUUAAAUUAACCAACGAGGAAGGAUAUCCAGAGUCACGCCCAAAGGGCAGUAGUCAGAGCCUCUCAGUUCAGGGCCCCAGUGCACUGGUCUCUGCCACCUGCCUGACCUGGCUAAUUAAGGACUUUUGUCUUGCCAGGCCGGAGCGGGCGAGCUGUGCCCCCCACUGCUCCACUGUGGUGCUGGUAUUUGGCAUAUGAGGGUGCUUAGCGCACUCCCAGGUUAUAUGUAUUAAGGUAGGUAUGCCACCGCGCCAAGGGCAGUUGGCCCUAUAGCGAGUGGGAUACAUGGGUUUAGCAAUUUUAGAUGAAGGAAUACCCCGGUCUAUAUUUUACGCCAAUCGGCGGCCUCUUCUCCGCUAAGUUGUGGGUGAGGCGGCUGGUAUUUUCUGCGGACUCCGCGCUGAUGAGCACUGUUAUAAGUGUCUAUACGUAUACAGGUCCCGUCAAGUGACACCUGCGAUGUGGCUGUACUUCCGUUGCUAGCCGGAAUAAUUUCUAAGGAACCGUGAAAAACAAGAAAAACACAGAAGUGUGUGCAAUCUUUUAGUUUUGUUCUCUCUCGUUGAGUACGAAUAAAAAAGAAAGCUCGCAGAUGCUCCUGUCGGUUAACUUCUCUUUGAAUAAUCAUAAUUGAUAAGAGACAGGGUGGGAAACCGGCUCUCGGAAAACGCUUGUGAGUUUGCGACGGACCGACCUCAGUCCUGGACGGCAGCAGUCGAAACCAUCACGCAUUUGGACCACCGAAACAACGGUAAAGCCCGCAGUUA
Long non-coding RNA from Dermacentor silvarum, 1563 nucleotides. RefSeq lists it as uncharacterized. The transcript is spliced from 2 exons. The record is from RefSeq and is a predicted model, not a curated record. NCBI's taxonomy places the organism in Eukaryota, Metazoa, Arthropoda, Arachnida, Ixodida, Ixodidae.